This 333-nucleotide unclassified non-coding RNA is filed under the name soil metagenome. RNAcentral describes it as "partial contains 5.8S ribosomal RNA, internal transcribed spacer 2, and large subunit ribosomal RNA". The stretch from base 1 to 120 matches the Rfam family "5.8S ribosomal RNA", at positions 35 to 154 of the family's 154-position model. The record is from RNAcentral.
GAUGAAGAACGUAGCGAAAUGCGAUAAGUAAUGUGAAUUGCAGACUUUAGUGAAUCAUCGAAUCUUUGAACGCACAUUGCGCCCCUUGGUAUUCCGGGGGGCAUGCCUGUUCGAGCGUCAUUUCAACCCUCAAGCUCUGCUUGGUCUUGGGCCUGGCCAUCGUGGCCGGCCUUAAAAUCAGUGGCGGUGCCUGCUGUAGGCUCCAAGCGUAGUACAUCUCUCGCUCUGGAAGCCCGGCGGUGCCUGCCAGACAACCCCUAAAUUGUCUCUUAUGGUUGACCUCGGAUCAGGUAGGGAUACCCGCUGAACUUAAGCAUAUCAAUAAGCGGAGGA